CGCCAGAGAACAACGAGCAAAGCUUAAAACCCAAAGGACUUGGCGGCACUCCACACCACCCUAGAGGGGCCUGUCACACAAUCGAUAACCCACGAUAGACCUCACCGCCCUUAGCCCACAUCAGCCUAUAUACCGCCGUCGCCAGCCCAUCUCUGAGAGAAACAAAAUGGACCCAAUAGUACCACCCGCACUAACACGACAGGUCAAGGUGUAGCUCAUAAGGCGGCAAAUGAUGGACCACAUUGCUCACCCAGCCACACCAAAAUUGCACUGAAACACACACUUUAAGGUGAAUUUAACAAUAAGACAAACAAGAAAAUUUGUCUAAAGUAUGCUCUGGAGUGUGUACACACCGCCCGUCACCCUCAA
Molecule: ribosomal RNA, 369 nt
Filed under: Kinyongia uthmoelleri
Lineage: Eukaryota; Metazoa; Chordata; Lepidosauria; Squamata; Chamaeleonidae
Description: partial 12S ribosomal RNA
Source: RNAcentral